UACGUAGGUGGCAAGCGUUGUCCGGAUUUACUGGGCGUAAAGGAUGCGUAGGCGGACAUUUAAGUCAGAUGUGAAAUACCCGAGCUUAACUUGGGUGCUGCAUUUGAAACUGGGUGUCUAGAGUGCAGGAGAGGUAAGUGGAAUUCCUAGUGUAGCGGUGAAAUGCGUAGAGAUUAGGAAGAACACCAGUGGCGAAGGCGACUUACUGGACUGUAACUGACGCUGAGGCGCGACAGCGUGGGGAGCAAACAGG
RNAcentral lists this ribosomal RNA (253 nucleotides) under uncultured bacterium. RNAcentral's name for it is "partial 16S ribosomal RNA". It matches the Rfam family "Bacterial small subunit ribosomal RNA", at positions 524 to 776 of the family's 1533-position model. The record is from RNAcentral.